UCUGUCAGGCAAAGUCCACUCAUCCUUUAUGACCUAAUACAAAUGAUGCUUCUUCUGUGAAGCCUUCCCUGCCCUCCCCAGGGAGAUAAUCACUCUCCUCUCUGCUUUCACAUGUAUUAUGGCAUGUCUCUUUAUAUGUUGGUCUCUCCCAAAUGUCUUAGAAGAUUCAUGGGGCAAUCCCAAUCUGAUUGAGGAAGAGGUAUUCUAGAAACAUCUACUGAUGAACAAAAAUAUCAGGUAUUCACACACACAGAGUGCUACCUACUGAAGAGAUUCUCUCCAGUUGGAGAGAAAAGCUUAAUGGAGAAGAUGUCAUUGAGGAGAACCUGGAAGGGCAGGUAAAGAAAUAAAAGAGGACAAGAAAAGAUGUUUUCCCAUCCCUGACAUUUUCUGGUCCAGCAAGGACAAGCUGAAAAGCUGAUUAACAAGCUUCCCAGGAGACAGAUCCAACUGGCAUCUAAGGAUAAGAGGGCUUAUCUUCUGAUUUUUGGUUAAGGUGAUUAAACUCAGACUACUAAUUGGGUAAAAAUGCAAAACUUAUUCUAGAUUACUAUUUUAAGCAUCCUUCAUUCUUUCAUCCAUUCUUCCAUUUAUUCUUCCAAGAAUCUAUUUUUCCACCUAUCCAUUUUUCUACCCAUCCAUUAUUUAUUUAGAAGUAUUUAGAUACUUCUUUUAGAUACUUCUAUGCACCAUAUUCUGUGCUGAGUGUGGAAAACACAAUGAUGGACAAGGAAGCAGAUUUCCUUGCCCUUAUAACUUAUAGCCUAGCCCAGGAGACAAUGAAAAACAACCAUCCAAGUGGCCACGUAUUCCUAGUUGAGAUAAGUGCUCUAAAAAAUAUACUGUAGGCAAUUAAGAUGGAUAAUGGGAGGGAGGUAAACAAGACUAGGGGUUCAAAGAAGAUGGCCUGCUUGGGGGAAAAAAAAGAUAUUAAAACCCAGUAUUCGGGGGCCACGUGGGUAGCUCUGUUCUUAAGUUUGAGUUUUGCAUCAAGCUUUGUGCUGGCCAUGCAGAGCCUGCUUG
Long non-coding RNA from Panthera uncia (snow leopard), 1023 nucleotides. RefSeq lists it as uncharacterized. NCBI's taxonomy places the organism in Eukaryota, Metazoa, Chordata, Mammalia, Carnivora, Felidae. The record is from RefSeq and is a predicted model, not a curated record. The transcript has 5 exons.